AAACUAGGAAUAGAUACCCUAUUAGAAAUAAUUAAAAUUUAGUAGUAAGUGAAAUUCAUGAAACUUAAAUUAAAUUGCGCGGCUAUUUAAAUUUUUUAGAAGGAAUUUAUUCAGUAAAGGAUCCAACACCAAAAUCUUACUUUUGUUAGUUUACAGUUUGUAUAUCUCUAUAUAAAAAUAUAAUAUUAUAUUUUUUAUUUUAUUGACUAGCUAGAUUUUAGGUAAAGGUGCAGCUUAUACAAAAGAUUGAAAUAAAUUAUAUUAAUUAUUGUUUAACAAUAUAUCUAUGGUAGAUAGGUGUUUAGUAAAAUUUAAAAGUAAAAUUAAUAGAUUAAGUUAAUUUGAAUAUUAAUUUAAUUGUGUACAUAUUGCCCGUCACUCUCUUAUUAGAGAUAAGUCGAACAUAGUA
Molecule: ribosomal RNA, 409 nt
Filed under: Typhlodromalus deleoni
Lineage: Eukaryota; Metazoa; Arthropoda; Arachnida; Mesostigmata; Phytoseiidae
Description: partial 12S ribosomal RNA
Source: RNAcentral